Molecule: long non-coding RNA, 994 nt
Filed under: Octopus vulgaris (common octopus)
Lineage: Eukaryota; Metazoa; Mollusca; Cephalopoda; Octopoda; Octopodidae
Source: RNAcentral
AAAAAAUUGAAAUCUUUCUUUUAUUAUAAAUAUUUUGAGAAUUAUCAGCAACAGCAGCACCGUGUGACUGUUAGCUGUGUAAUAGUCAAUAGACUAAGUGCCUCAGUAAGGUAAGGCUAACUGAGUCCUGCUUUAUAUCUCAGCAUAUAGAAGUCUCUUUUGUACAGGAUUGUGUUUCUGUAUCAGUAAGUGUAAAAUUUAAGGUGACUGUAUAACAGUUAGUGUCACUGUUUGUGAUUGAGUUGGGGGGGAGGGGCUGGGAAGUAGGUGGUCGUAUGAAUAUAUAUGUUCCCAUGCAUAUAAAUUUAAAGGACAUAUUAUUAUUAUUAUUAUUAUUAUUAUUACUAUUAUUAUUAUAGGUAUCUGUAUGGGUCUAUGGUGUAUUUUACAGAUGUAUUUUAAAAGGCAGUGUAAAUGUGUGCAUGUAGAUGUAUGCAUGUGUGAAUGCGCGUGUGUGUGUGUGUGUGUGUAAUAAUAAGUGAGUGUUUAAUAACUAUGAAUAUGUAUAAGCGUGUGAGAGUGUGUGGAGGUAAAGGUAUGGGGGGAGAAGGCCAACUGAGAUCAGGCUCUAAUUUCUUAAUUCUUUACCUUUGUCCAACCCGUGUGGUAAAUUUUUCACCUCUGAUUAAAGAAAAAAAUAAAUAAAACUGAUUUAAUUUUUGAUGCAGGUUGUAAUAAUGACUUCAUCUCAUUUGAUGCAGGUUGUAAUAAUGACCUCACCUCGUUUUUAUCUCCAACAAAAAUAGCGUUGCACUUUGCUUAAAGUAAACUGGUCGUUCACUCAAUUCGAAACCAAUUUUUACAAGCAACAACAGGGAGAAAUCUGUAACAAUCUUUGUAUAUAAUGAAAGUUAGUGAGUUAGAAAGAGAGGGGGAGGGAAAGAGAAAGAGAGAGAGAGAGAGAGAGAUAAUAGCCAAACUAUUUUCCAUCACAAAACACCAACAAAUACACAAUAUGAUAUUAUAUAUAUAUAUAUAUAUAUAGUUAUAUAUA